GAUGAACGCUAGCGGGAGGCUUAAUACAUGCAAGUCGAACGGUAAGGUCUCUUCGGAGAUACACGAGUGGCGCACGGGUGAGUAACGCGUACACAAUCUACCUCUUAGAGGGGGAAAGUCGCUGGAAACGGCGAAUAAUACCCCAUAGUAUCAUAAUGCCGCAUGGUAUAAUGAUUAAAGUUCAGGCGCUAAGAGAUGAGUGUGCGUUCCAUUAGCUAGUUGGUGAGGUAACAGCUCACCAAGGCGACGAUGGAUAGGGGGCGUGAGAGCGUGGCCCCCCACACGGGUACUGAGACACGGACCCGACUCCUACGGGAGGCAGCAGUAAGGAAUAUUGGACAAUGGGCGCAAGCCUGAUCCAGCCAUCCCGCGUGUAGGAUGACUGCCCUAUGGGUUGUAAACUACUUUUGUUAGGGAAGAAACCCCGAUAUUUAUAUUGGGCUGACGGUACCUAAAGAAUAAGCACCGGCUAACUCCG
Molecule: ribosomal RNA, 478 nt
Filed under: uncultured Saprospiraceae bacterium
Lineage: Bacteria; Pseudomonadati; Bacteroidota; Saprospiria; Saprospirales; Saprospiraceae
Description: bacterial SSU rRNA
Rfam family: Bacterial small subunit ribosomal RNA
Source: RNAcentral